UACGGAGGGGGCUAGCGUUGUUCGGAAUUACUGGGCGUAAAGCGUACGUAGGCGGCUUUGUAAGUUAGAGGUGAAAGCCCGGGGCUCAACUCCGGAAUUGCCUUUAAGACUGCAUCGCUUGAAUCAUGGAGAGGUGAGUGGAAUUCCGAGUGUAGAGGUGAAAUUCGUAGAUAUUCGGAAGAACACCAGUGGCGAAGGCGACUCACUGGACAUGUAUUGACGCUGAGGUGCGAAAGCGUGGGGAGCAAACAGG
RNAcentral lists this ribosomal RNA (253 nucleotides) under uncultured bacterium. RNAcentral describes it as "partial 16S ribosomal RNA". It matches the Rfam family "Bacterial small subunit ribosomal RNA", at positions 524 to 776 of the family's 1533-position model. The record is from RNAcentral.